GAUGAACGCUAGCGGCAGGCUUAAUACAUGCAAGUCGUACGGGAUCCGAGGUAGCAAUACUUUGGUGAGAGUGGCGCACGGGUGCGUAACACGUAUGCAACCUACCUAUAACCGGGACACAACCCACCGAAAGGUGAGCUAAUAUCCCAUAACACUGCGAGAUGGCAUCAUUUUGCAGUUAAAACUCCGGUGGUUACAGAUGGGCAUGCGCGACAUUAGCUAGUUGGUGAGGUAAUGGCCCACCAAGGCUACGAUGUCUAGGGGUUCUGAGAGGAUUACUCCCCCA
Molecule: ribosomal RNA, 286 nt
Filed under: uncultured Bacteroidota bacterium
Lineage: Bacteria; Pseudomonadati; Bacteroidota
Description: uncultured Bacteroidetes bacterium partial 16S ribosomal RNA
Rfam family: Bacterial small subunit ribosomal RNA
Source: RNAcentral